UACGAAGGGGGCUAGCGUUGUUCGGAAUUACUGGGCGUAAAGCGUGCGCAGGCGGUCCUGCAAGUCAGGCGUGAAAUCCCCGGGCUUAACCUGGGAAUGGCACUUGAAACUACGGGACUGGAGUAUGGCAGAGGGAGGUGGAAUUCCACGUGUAGCGGUGAAAUGCGUAGAGAUGUGGAGGAACACCGAUGGCGAAGGCAGCCUCCUGGGCCAAUACUGACGCUCAUGCACGAAAGCGUGGGGAGCAAACAGG
RNAcentral lists this ribosomal RNA (253 nucleotides) under uncultured bacterium. RNAcentral describes it as "partial 16S ribosomal RNA". It matches the Rfam family "Bacterial small subunit ribosomal RNA", at positions 524 to 776 of the family's 1533-position model. The record is from RNAcentral.